This 185-nucleotide unclassified non-coding RNA is filed under the name fungal sp. Its description in RNAcentral is "partial internal transcribed spacer region". The stretch from base 1 to 46 matches the Rfam family "Eukaryotic small subunit ribosomal RNA", at positions 1786 to 1831 of the family's 1831-position model. Lineage: Eukaryota; Fungi. The record is from RNAcentral.
AAGUCGUAACAAGGUUUCCGUAGGUGAACCUGCGGAAGGAUCAUUACUGUUAACUUUUAUAAACACCAGAGUUUUUUAAACUCUGUGUUUGCAAACAAAAACACCCUUUAAAAUAGCUUUUGAGUGUCUGAAUUUAACCUAGUUAAAUACAAAAACAACUUUCAACAACGGAUCUCUUGGCUCUU